AAGGUUUUUUUACCAAUAAUCAUUUUUGUUCAAUAAGAUACCAAAGUGGAUGAUUGACUCAUUCCAUACUAGAAAUAAUCGCAGGGAUUCUCGCGAGUCUAUAUAUGUAGAUUAUAGUAUAGAAAGAACUUCCCCCAACCAGUAGCGUCUGAUUAGCUAGUUGGUGAGGUAAUAGCUUACCAAGGCGAUGAUCAGUAGCUGGUCCGAGAGGAUGAUCAGCCACACUGGGACUGAGACACGGCCCAGACUCCUACGGGAGGCAG
Molecule: long non-coding RNA, 263 nt
Filed under: Helianthus annuus (common sunflower)
Lineage: Eukaryota; Viridiplantae; Streptophyta; Magnoliopsida; Asterales; Asteraceae
Description: Microsporidia small subunit ribosomal RNA
Rfam family: Bacterial small subunit ribosomal RNA
Source: RNAcentral